UAAAAAAUAAGCUAAUAAAGCUAUUAGGUUCAUACCCUUAUUAUAAAGGUUUUAGUCCUUUUUUUUUAA
Molecule: transfer RNA, 69 nt
Filed under: Orfelia nemoralis
Lineage: Eukaryota; Metazoa; Arthropoda; Insecta; Diptera; Keroplatidae
Description: tRNA-Met
Rfam family: tRNA
About the family: Transfer RNA (tRNA) molecules are approximately 80 nucleotides in length. Their secondary structure includes four short double-helical elements and three loops (D, anti-codon, and T loops).
Source: RNAcentral